AGUCGAACGGAGCUUAGAGAGCUUGCUUUUUAAGCUUAGUGGCGAACGGGUGAGUAACGCGUGAGUAACCUGCCCUAGAGUGGGGGACAACAGUUGGAAACGACUGCUAAUACCGCAUAAGCCCACGGUACCGCAUGGUACUGAGGGAAAAGGAUUUAUUCGCCUUAGGAUGGACUCGCGUCCAAUUAGCUAGUUGGUGAGGUAACGGCCCACCAAGGCGACGAUUGGUAGCCGGACUGAGAGGUUGAACGGCCACAUUGGGACUGAGACACGGCCCAGACUCCUACGGGAGGCAGCAGUGGGGGAUAUUGCACAAUGGGGGGAACCCUGAUGCAGCGACGCCGCGUGGAGGAAGAAGGUUUUCGGAUUGUAAACUCCUGUCGUUAGGGACGAUAAUGACGGUACCUAACAAGAAAGCACCGGCUAACUACGUGCCAGCAGCCGCGGUAAAACGUAGGGUGCAAGCGUUGUCCGGAAUUACUGGGUGUAAAGGGAGCGCAGGCGGGAAGACAAGUUGGAAGUGAAAACCAUGGGCUCAACCCAUGAAUUGCUUUCAAAACUGUUUUUCUUGAGUAGUGCAGAGGUAGAUGGAAUUCCCGGUGUAGCGGUGGAAUGCGUAGAUAUCGGGAGGAACACCAGUGGCGAAGGCGGUCUACUGGGCACCAACUGACGCUGGGGCUCGAAAGCAUGGGUAGCAAACAGGAUUAGAUACCCUGGUAGUCCAUGCCGUAAACGAUGAUUACUAGGUGUUGGGGG
This 756-nucleotide ribosomal RNA is filed under the name uncultured bacterium. Its description in RNAcentral is "bacterial SSU rRNA". It matches the Rfam family "Bacterial small subunit ribosomal RNA", at positions 60 to 829 of the family's 1533-position model. The record is from RNAcentral.